CAGAAACAAAAGCUAAUUGAUUAAUUUUUGUAUAGCUAUUAUGUAUGUGUAUGUAUACAAUGCAAAAUUUCAACAAAAUAUGCAUGGGAUAAUGGCUAGGAGUAAUGUGCAUAGAGAAGCACUGAAACAGGUGACCUGGGGAAGCUGAAGUACCCUUUGUCCUGCAUGUGGGGUCUGUGGCCUCUGUCCCUAUUGUGAUGGGAGGUGACCAGGAUCCAUGGAUGAAUGAUAACCUUUGCCUUUGAGCAUCCCAUUCGUUGUAAAAUGUUUCCCAGUGACUGCAAACUGGGCAAAAUCUUGCACCUCAUAUUUUCACCUUCCAGACUGUUCCUGGCAGGUUGCACUGACAAAUUACAAAUUAACUCUGCAAUCUGUUAGCAGAUUACAGUUUAACUCUGCCCCUGUUUUGGAAAUGUUAUUGCCAAGAGGCAUUUCCUGAUUUACCACGGCCUUGACUAUUGUGUUGUCUCAGGGCUUCAGGCCCCACUGAUUGUAGCUACCUAAAGACAACAGGGUCUAUAAGUGCCACAGAAUCAAUAGCAGCACUAUUUCUGCACCAUGCUUUUUCUCCAGGAUGCUUUCCAGGACCCCGAACAAACACUUCAGCAGCCUCUUUGCAUGAGCUCUGUACAGCACGAUAGCUGCCAUGUAACGUACUCACCAUAGCCUGUUAAUAGUUGAGAAUUUAUUCUCCACUGUCAGAUGAGGCUUUGGAGGGGGGGGUGACUGAUUGGUUUUCUUCUUUAGUUAAGCAUUUCUGCAUGGCUGGAAAAUUUUACAGGCUUGCCUUGUGGCUACGUUAAUGUCUACGUAUUGUGGCUAUGUGCUACUUAAUUCAGCUGAAGCCUAAUGUCAGCAGUGGUGCUAGGCAUCUUCAGUCAGACAUCCUCUUGUCUCUGUAGGAUGGAGAAGGACAAUUGUAAGUGCUACCUGUCAGAAAGCUGUUAAAAACCCUUUUUCAGUGUUGAUAUUCCCUCUUAAUUAAACGUAUUCAUCACAGUUCAGCUCCUUUCCCUACAAAUCUUUUCCUUUGGCCAUUUAUAAUCUCUGUUUUCUACAGCUGCUGCUUCCUGUAUGCUGCAGGUUCAGACACUUCCAAUCAUUGCUGGGUUCAGGUGCUUCUCAUCUCAUCAUCCUUGCUUCUUAACAGCAGCUGUUCAGAUGGGUGAUGCAGCUUCCUCAUUCCAGCAGAGACCCUCAAAUGCACUUUCAACCAACUUGCACAAGCCAGGGAAAUGCGGAUGUAAUAAUGAGACGUAUUAUCACUGCUGUGUGGUUUGACCUGCUUGCUGCUUCAAGUUGUGUGGCUGAGCAGUGCACACCAGGUGACCGGAGUCCUAAGACUCCAUUGCAUGCUGACAGAUGCUGACACAAGGAGCUGCAGGAAAUGAGAGCUGGAGGAGCACGCAUUUAGCAGAUUAUCCAAAUUGGGAUUUGGUCCUGGACACUGAGAAAGACUAAGAAUGCAUGGAACCACCAAGGUUGGAAAAGACCUCCAAGAUCAUCUAGUCCAACCAUUCACCUACCAUCAAUAUUUCCCCAUUACAUUGUGUCCCUUAGUCCCUCUUGAACACCUCCAGGGACUCAACAACUGCCCUGGGCAGCCUGUUAAGUGAUCAGCUCAAAUGUUUAUUUGCACUGAUAAACUAUUUAUCUCAUUAUUCUAAUGUUCAUCCAAUUGUUCAUUCAGGCCAUAACAAUUGUUUGCACACGGUCAGGCACAGUGCUAGAUUGAAUCGUGGCACCUACUUCAUUUCCGAAGACCUAAAGAUUCUCACAAUGCAGCAUCACAUCAUUCAGCAUCGUUCAAUUUCAGGGAAGAGGAUGGUGCAUCCCAGAAGAGGAAAAAGGUUUUGUUCUCUUCACCAGUCACAAGAAAAUAUUUGUUCGAGACUUGGUAAACUGAUGUGGAGGUGUCAUUGCUGCUGAGAAUUGACACCAGAACCAGAAUGAUAUCUGUUCUUCCGUCGCAGGAAUGCAGAGCCUACCAAAGAAAUGGAAUUGCUAAAUUACAAGCUCCUGCAUUCACCUGAAAGGAUGGACUUGCAAAACUCUCCUUGACUUCCACACACCUCAGCACGCAGUGAAAAGUUGGGAAUGAUAGGGAGAGAGGCACCGCAGCGGCUUUUUAUUUGCAAUAUUUAUGCAUUUAACCAAAGACUUGUCUGGGAUGGGGUCUGCAAGGAGGAUGAAAACAACUCCAUGUAUUUCACCGUACGCAAGUACACAGGGCAACUUGCAAUUUGAAGGUAUGAUUUUCCCUGCCGUGUUUCUCACAGCAGGCUCACAGUAACACUUGUUAAACUUAUACUGGUUCAUUGCUCACACGUCUCAAACUUACAGACACCUUGCAGUCUUGUCACAUCUACCAGGUGUCUCAUUCUGUCAGGCUACAGCCAGUUCUCUAGUACUACAGUUUUCUGCUGACAAGGUUUUGACAGUAUUUCUGUUAAAAUCCCCUUGCAUUUCAAAUCAAUUUGCAAGUCUUUAUACAAAACACAUUUAGUUGAACUGUGGAGCAGUUAGUAGCUGAUUAGCUCCCUUCCAGCGCCAUCUCUUUGAAGAUGCUUAAAUUAUAUUAGUCUAGCUACUGUGUGAUUAUUUUAUUUGCCAGCACUGAUUAGCUGAUUCACUGAAAAUGAAGAAACUGAAAAGUGCUGACAUUUUCACUUCAGAAACAUAUCUGCUAAGUUCUGUUUUUGUUAUAACGACACGAGUUUUUAUACCAUUUCAUGCUGUAUGGGACUAUACCCAGGAACUGACAAUUCAGCCUAAAUGUGUAUAUAGUCUGACACCAGUAUUUAUUUAUAUCAGAGAAGUAUCCUGAAAUUCCAAUCAGUCAGAGUCCGUUUGCACUUAAAACAGAGAGAGCUCAUAGUGCAGAAAACACAGACAACCCCUCAGACCUUACAAUCAAACAGGAACAGUGCAGGCUGUGAAGAUAAAUGGAAAUACAUAGAAGUUGUGUUUUGUCCAGCAAGGUCAUAACUCGAUGUGGACAAAAUCUUGGUUUCCUGGCUUUUACUUAUUCUUAGUUUUGCAAGGUCUAGGUCUGGGACAUAGCGGGCAGAAAGGCCACUGAAGGAGAAUAGCAAUGAGAGCAACAGUGCAAAUCAGAACUGCCUGAACAAAGGAAGGUGGUUUUACAGCGAUGGACUUGGGACACUCUUGUGGGAGCUCCUCCAAUGACCUUGCUCCCUCUCUGCCCACAUGGGGAAACAAGUUGCUGGUUUGGGCGGACCCUGUGGGUCCUGCAUUCACCAAACCAUGUGGUGUUGUAUUAGCACAUACUCAGAAGGCUGGUAAAUGAUGUGCAAUGAUCUCAGCAUUUCUGCUGUGGGACCUGCAGGAGGAACAAGGGAUCCUAGCUUCUGAGACAGUUCUCAAGGACAAGUACACAUGGACGCUACUGUUAUCCUUGCUAGUAACAACUUUAAGGAGCUUCGUUUUACCCCUCAAACACCUUAAAAGUUGCCUUCUCAUGAUAGAAAUCAAGGAGAGAAGCAGCUGGCAGCCGAGACCCCUUUGGGAGAAUCCGUCACAUUCCCAGAGAACACUGCCUCUAUUCGUGCAGCUCAGCCUGUGCUUUCCAGCACUAACGACAACCAUUUGUGCACCCCAGAUUCCUGUUAGCAGCAAUAAUAUUUUAUGCAAAUUCCACUCCCAUAGACAUUUUUGUGACAGAUUGGUGGUGCAUGAGAGUGCAGAUAAGGAGAUCUGCAUCUGAAUGGCAAGAGUCUCCCCUGUGCUAAGUUUGCAAAGUCCCGCUGAUUUCCAGGGCUGUAUAGGUUGGUGCUGGUUAAGGAACACAUUGUUUCCUUUUGCUUGGUACAUUUCCUAGCUUAGACAAUAGCUGAACAUAAAAUACACUCCUUGUAUGUCAUCUUAAUUAGAAGUGACUGAUUUAAUGAACACACCAUAAUUAAUGUCUAUUAUACCAUGAAAGACCUUAUUUCCACAAACUGGAUAGAUCUUUGUUUCUUCUGUUACUGUAGCAGCCUGAUUGCAUUUGAUCAGCGUAAUAAGAGGUACAGUAGCAUUAUAUUGUUCGCAGGCCUUCACUGGGAACCUUAAUUGCCUAUUUACUAGUGCUCAGUGCAUUGGGCAUGGGCUUCCUUAACCGCAGUGUUCAGCACAGUGUCUCAGCAGGGGUUUACACGAUGUUCCAGUCUGAGGCCUUUUUUCCACUCAGUUCUGAAUUCAGAUGAUUCUUUGAAGUGAGAGAAAGGAAUAGAGAGAACAAUAAGUACAGAGAGCUUGCAGUGCACUGAGGCCAUUCAGUCUUCCCUGCAGAAGGGCAAAGAAAUGUCUUCAUUUACAAAUGCUUUUCAGUUUUGACCCGUGCUUUCAGAAUAACUAAAUUUGGACAAUGUACAAUAUGAGCAAAGCCACAAGGUGAUGAGCCCAAAUUCCUGUUGGGCUUAAAAGCCCCAUCAGCAAUCCACAACUAUGGGAAUCUCUAAGGUAGUAGGUAGGACUUCUGUUUUGAACUUUGAAUUCUGGAUUUUUCUCCAGAUACAACAAUACUGCUGCAGAUCAUAUUCAGUACUCACAGUGAUUUCUUUUAGACUUUGUAUAUGUGAAAUCCAACAUCAGUGGAACAAUGGAAAAACUUACAAGGAAAUCUCCUUUCAAAGUCUGUGUUCCCUUGAAGAAUGAACUUCAGCUCUAUGAUGCUGAACCUUUCCUUUAACAGAAAGAUCUUGCAACAGAUUCAAAAUUCGGUCACACUUAAGGCCUGACUCUCAUUUAAACUAGAGUGAAGAAUGAAUAGCUCUGUUGAAGAUGAGGGAAUGUCACUGACAUAAAUAUACUUAAAAUAAAGAAUCAGAUCUUGCUGUCUCCCAAUAUUCCACCUCAGUUAAAAUGGUUCAAGUACAUUACUGGCAGGAAUGAAACAUGAAACUGAGUAGGAUGAGAAACUCAUUUUCAGUUGUAGAGAUAAAUACAAUUGUGCUACUCAAGCAAAUAAUGAAAUAUGUCUGAAGACUUCACAAUGAAGAAGUGCACAAUACUAAUGGAUAAUAUAACUGAACACAGUAGAGUAUAAAAGGAAUAAAUAUCAAGGUCAAAAAUAAUAAAUAGGGAAGAGUCACCCCAAGUGUUAUUUUUUCAGCUAAAAUGAAAAAAGCAAAUAUUUAAACAUGCAUACAAAUAUAUGUACUGUGGAAAAGCAAAUACACCAAGUUGUAAGUGCUAAGACAGCCUGGAUUCAGAUAGUUCAGAUGACCGUUAAUUGUCUUAAUUUCCAGAAGUAUGACAAUGUCUUUCAGUAUUUAAGGACAGCUUCUUUGAUGAACCUUGGCUGGAUGUUCUUGGAAGCAUUUCCAUCUUUUUAUUGCUCACAUUAGGUAUGCUCAAUUUAGGCUCUCUUGGUGUAUUAGUAACAAUUUAUCAUUAAUAUAUAUAUAAGAAGGAUGUUUUGACUUUUUUAAUGGCAUAAAAUAAUAAUCUCUAAUGCCAUGGUUAUUCCUGUAGACCUAGAACAAAACCUCAGAUCUUGAUUUUUAUCAAGAGCUGCAGUCUUCCUACCACACUAUCUUAGGCUCUGUGCUUCCUUACAAAUUUCUCAAAGCAGCAGCAGAACCAGAAUGGCUGCUGAAAACACUGCCAGAAAUUCCAGUGCAAUUAUGAAUAAAACCUUUGUGAAAUCAUAUAUUUACAUCUAGCAUGUGUUUUCAGUGCUCUGUAUCUCCAAAGCAUCUUCAGAUCUGAUCAAAAACCAUAGUGGUAAGGAAGCUUCUAAUUUCCGUAUGAACAUGACAUCUGUUUGAUUCCAUUUUCUAAUCCAUUUUCCCCUAGAAAUAAUAGCAAAAGUAGUAUUAAAUGCAAUGGAUUCAGAUCUGGCCUUUGAAGUUUGCAUGCCCUUGUUACUAGAAGUUGCCAGGGCAUGCUGUGGAAAAGACUGGUGUUAGGAUAUCACAAGACUGUAAGAUCCAAACCUCUUGAAGGGUGCUAUGAGCAAAAGGCAAAUCCACCAAAACAUGUACCCUGUUGCUUUAUAUAGGGCCCUAGCUGACUCAUGCCUUUCACCAGUGAAGUCAGCUGACUGUUGUUAUUCAACGUAUUUCGUAGUUUUCUCACCUAAAUGCACAUGCUUAAUGUUGCAGCUGUAGCUCACUGUGUAGCAGAAAUCCCAUCAGAGCUGAAAUCUCAGUACCAGUCACCUGUUUCAUUUAUUUCUUGCUGUGAGCCUAAUGAGAAAACAGCCAGAGCUACCCCUAGAAGCUGAGAGGAGAAAUAGCACUUUUCAAGAGUUAGUAUGAAAUUCAAACACUUUUGAACAUGGGAGCCAGGAAGAGCAGUUCAACUAUCAAGAAAUAUCAUUAAUAAAUAAUCAUCUAAUUCUCUGUGUGAUGAGUUUAGAUUCUGCAUGUCAGAGCCACAGGAAGAAAAAUAGGAAUUGGGCAGAAAACUUAGCCAAAGCCUGAUGAAGUGAAUUCAAGCUUAUCUAAUGGUUUCAAUGGAAAUUGAAUCGCAACGCUUUUAUGUCCUCUUUCCCUUGUGAACAACAUUCUCUCAGAAUGCCUAAAUAAAGUAUGCCCUCAAGGGUUUUGACUAAUUCCGAAAUAUGUAGGAGAACUGGUAUCUUAAAAAGGAACGGUGCCGCAGAUGAUAAUCUUGACAGGAAUGCCUGAUGUCUUUCAGUCUCAUACAUUCACCAGCCUCUCUCAUGUCUGAGUGCCUUCCAUACCAAACCAACACCACAGCUGCACAGAUAAGAAUGGCAAUAUUUCAGAACUUUUAAUAGUCCAAAGAAUGGAAAAUCACUUCUUUUUCCACAACAAUUUGGGAUCAGAAUGUGUAUGUUUGUGUUUUCUUUCUUUUUUUUUUUUAAUGCUGGCAGUAUUCGAAGAGAUCUGUUGUUACCCAGCUUUUUGACAGUGAUGGGGAGAACCAUUUUCAUGGCUCCUGCGUGGACAACCUUUCUCAUUUCCUACUAGUGCCAAUUGUUUCCACAUCAGCUGUACUAAGAAUCAUUGAGCUCAAUCAACAGCCACCUUGCUGGGUAAUCUGAAAACACAAAGGAGGACUUUCAGUCCUGCAGAAGGCUCAUGAUCACAUUACCACUAACAGCUAGGAUCUGUUUGAUUAGAUAGCAUGAGGAAGUUCAGUGAUUACAUAAUUCUUUUUUAAUGACUGUGUAUGUCAAAUUGCAAAGCAGAUAUAAAAAGUCAGUUGAUUGUAUUUGCAAGAAAAAAUAUCUUAUGGCAAAAGGCACAAUGAUAGCUAUUCAGCUGCAAAGAAGAAGGAAUAUAUCUGAGCAUGGGAAUCCUCAUGAAAACAACAUCCAGCCUGGCACUGCUCCCAGGCAGAGCAAGCUGUGUGGUAAGUGGUCAGGUAUGUAAUCUGCAGAUCAUUAUGCUCUGCUGUUACAAGACUGGUGGAUGAUCAAAUAACCCUAUUGCUCCUCACCUACCUGCAAUUUCACCUCAGCUAGAAUGAAGCGUUUCCUCUUUCUCAUUGUGGCCUAAAAUUGAAGUCAGUAACAACUGGCAUUCAACCAAGGAGGCUUCUGGCAUCCCAGCUUCAAGAUGCUGUUUUGUUAUGUUUCCACACAUUUCCCCUCAACCUGUGAUGCACAGCUGCAGAUGCACUCUGUCCUCACUGUAGCACCAACCCUAAUCUGCAGACCUUCAGGUUUGGUGCCACAGACUCCUGAACACAUGUAAAGAUUCCUCUUUUUUACAGAACCAGGAUGCAAUUAACACAUCUUUGCAGGGACCAGAGGCUGAGCUGCGUAGAUACGAAUUUACCUCUCAGGUUUCUAGAGAAAAUUUAUAUUUCUUGCCUUUGAUAAUUUUAAGAAGUAAGAAAUUGCACAAAGAUUAAGAAAGACAAAACAGAAAACCUGGCCUGAAUUAUUUUGAGGCCUCUUAUCAUUUCUUCUCUAGACAGUUUUCGACCCAGCAGGCUGCAGCCUCUAACACAUAAUCUAAGAUGAUGUGGUUCUGAGAGGUACUUGACCACAUUAGAAUGACCAAACUACAGGGAGGGAUAAGGCCUUCUUUUUACACUUGUGUCACACAGGAACAAAGGAAAUAACAUUUUUACUUCACUUUCACACACUGUAGGAUGUCAGGCUGUGCUUCAUUUUGGGACUUUCAGUGAAAGAACUGAGCGCAGAUGUAAUGUUGUCUCAGUGGGAGAUGUGCCUCAGUGAAAGACGAAUAAAAACUGACUGCAGACACCAGGGUGUAUGUCAGAGAGUCCAGGUGACAGCUGUGGGUGUGUGCAGAUGAGGAAGGGGAUGCGUUUCCUCUGUUCCCAGCGGCAUUUUGUGCAGCCUGUCCUGAGUCUCAGCCCCACAAGUUCACCUCUAUUCCUGGGACCAUUAGAGGUAUUCUGAGAAUUUCCACCAGCAGCUUGUUUCCUCCAACACACUUCAUUAGCUCUGCCAGAGUAUCACCGCUGUCUGCUUCAGAAAAGAAGUGAAAAGUUGAAAAAUACUGGAGUUGAUACACUGGUCAACGAAUAAACAGGAAGAUGCAAAAAAGAAACUUGAGGUGAAGAGAGGUCCUGCCUUCACUUGGGAACAUCAGAGCACUGGAGUAUCCUGGGCCAUACCCACUAAAACAAGAUUCUUCUUGUGCUACCAGAGCUUGCCACUAGCAUUGCUCUGCUGACCGGUCUUGAUGUAGCUGCCACGUGCCAUUUCCUUCAUUUUUCAAAGAAAAUGAAGGGUUUUCUAAGGACAUAGGUCAAAGUUUUGCCUCAAACAGAAAACAAGUUCUGUCUUCCACCCUGAGUGGCUGAAGAGGCAGGUAAAUUUCAUGCAGGGUUUACCUCGCUUAUAUUAUAAUAUACACUAUAUUUAGUUUCUACUUUGUCUAGUUUCUCACUACCAAUUUCCAUCAUGGUGACAUAAAAGUUAAGUCCCCAGAGGGAGAGUCUGGAAGCAGUCUUUUAAAAGUAACAAUACCAUAAGUGGACAUGAUGAAAUUUUCUUUUCUUCUCUUUUCUUCUCUUUGAAGGGGUGCAGUGUUCAUCCAAGAAUGAGAAUAAACAUUUUAAGUCCUCCUUAGGUAUCCUGUUGCCUAGGACCGGAAGGUCUCGUGGUCCUCCCCUCCAUGCAAAUAGCAGCACAGGUUUUCAGCCCAGAUCUGUUGCUGAAUACUUCUGUGCUCCUGCAGUCCUGCUCAGAGGCAAUCCCACAAGGAAUGCAGUUCUCCCCACCUCCCUCCAACAGCUUUUGUUCUUCAGCCUCAUACUGCACAGCCGUGAGCCCAUCACCCUGCACACUUGGCAGGGGUGGGCAUCUAAAACUGAGGCCUGGAAAUUUGAGUUCAAUCCCAGGCUUCCCCCGCUGGUCCUCCCAGUUGUCUGCCUUGCAAAACCACCACUUCAACGUGCACCUCUGCUGUGUUUUUUGCAUGUGGGAAUCUCACUCUCUGCCUCGAUGCCUCCUGAAAACACUGUGAUAAACUUUUACAAGAAGUGCUUGUUAUUUCAAACUUUAGAGUCAUCACAAACGACAACUGCUUUUCAGAUGCUCUGUCCUCUCAUUAUAGACAGACUUUGAGAUAAAAGAAUGGAUUUUCAACCAUUCACACUACAAUUAAUUUCUUAAAGCAAAAUGGUUCAUUUAUCCUGCCCAGGAUGAAGUCACAUACAAAACAAUAACAAUCUGCCUUUUGAGGUGUCUUGUAUUUUUGACAGCCUUAGCCCUCAGCCUUUGAUUAGAUAAAGGCCUUAAUAUUGCAUUACAGCAGAAUUACCUACAUUAUGGCAGCUGCUUGUUGCAAUUGUGUUGACAUGAGUAGCUUCUCGUGUGAAUGUAUUCUGGUCUUUCUAAUCUCUUUAGCAUCAGCACCAGGACAUUUUAUUUGCAAUUGAUUUUUAAAUUUAGGAGUAAUUGAAGUUUAAGCGCAGUUACCUUCUUGCAACAAGGACAGGUUGAUACUGUUUAAAUCCUAAUUAUGCACUGAUUAAAAGUGAUUGCAUUGCCAAAGUGAGCAGGGGCUAUAAUUUGUUUCAUUCUUAAAGGCUCAGCAUAGAGAAUUAAUUGUAUUUCCAGGAAAACAGAUCAACAUAAAGAGGAAGCAAUUAAGAUUUCAUUGCUGAAUCAUAAAUUUCCUUGCAAUCUUUGGAAGGUGGAUAAAGUAGACUUAACAUUGAAAGCAGAUCUUUAUGACAGUAGGGAGAAACCAUUUCCUAGUUUAGGUUUUUGAUGGUACAAGCUUUGCCUGCAGUCAGUUAUGCUGAGUUUUGGUUAAAUGCAUAAGGUAGAAAUGGGUUUGCUUUAAUUUGGGAACAUCCAGCUUUGCAGUGUUCUGUUGUUUGCCUUGCUUUCAAAUUUAAUAAUGAAAUGACAGCCUGCAAAUUAUUCUCAUAUAAUAAGUAGGAUAAACAAAACCAGUCACACUUUUUGUAUGAGCAGGAGUCAUUUCAUAAACACCAUAAGAAAUUAGAAAGCACAAGAGGGAAACCGGAGCAGAAAAGUACAUUUCUACAUUAGUGACAGUAAAAACCUGGGGUCUAAACAGGUUAGAGCUGGGAGUUCUGGAUCUGAGUUUUGUGACUGUCACAAGCAAUGUUUGAGUCAGGUCUGAAUGAUCCCAGAGUUAGGGAAACACCUAAUAGAGACCUGCACCUGCUCAGUGUUACUUUUAUUAUUUCUUCAUACACAGGAUAUGUUUGUAUAGUGGGCUCUGAUGUUGUCUCUGAUCAAUCAGUGAUGGAAUAUCAAGAUUCUCCAAGAUGCUACAGACAAUUCCUCAUGCUGGAAUUUGAAAGUUUAUUUUAGUUUGGAUUAUAGGUGGCUUUUUUGUUGUUGUUGUCGUUUUUUUCCUCAAUCUCUCUGUUUCUCUAUCUAGAACAGUAGUUUUCUUAUUACCUACCGUCCUGCUAACAGGAGAAAUCUCAGCUGCAAACAACACGACUACAAAACUGAAGUUGCCACUGUGCUUUCAUGAUCACAUGAACCACUUGGUGCCAUACACACAAAGCAAAUAAAAUAACCAGAAGCAGAGAAGUCAGUGAAAAAGGGGUGAUGCCACCUCUGGGACACAGAGUUAUAACAGAGAAAGCUGACAUUAUAGAGUGUCUGGGAGUGAGGAGAAACUAUGUACUUCCUACAGUGGUAGAGGAGCAUGAAGCGGCAUGUGUAAUUUUCGAUUGCUUUGGCUUUCUCACUGUGUUUUCCUUCAUGCAUUUUUCAGACAAAAUGGCAGUUGAAUACCACAGCAGCCCACCAAAAUCAUAGAUAUUUUGAAUUUCAGUAAUUCUCCAUCAUUUCUGAGCAGAGAAUCUCCUGGUCUGCUAGCUGUGAAAGCAAACUGGUGGUGUGGUUGCUGUCUGAAGGAGUAUCCUUUGACACCUGUUGAUUCAAUUUCUUUCAUUUUGUAGAAUGGGUUGGAAAGGGCUGAGCUUUGUCUUCUGUCACAAGGAUGAGGAAUUAAAUCAUUCUGUCGCCUUGGGCUCUAAUUGCCUUGGAUCCUGUUAACUGUACAGCCUGCAGGCAAGCAAGGGCAUGGUGCAUGGUGCAGUGGUGAUCAGUAUUGUCAUUCAAAAGAUGAAAUUGUGUGACAUUCACUACGAGCCAACUGAAAAGUCACUGGAGGCACCUUUUGGCCUUUACUUUUCUUUUUGGUGAAUAAACAGACUUUACUGGAAGAGGGAAGAGUUGCUCAGUGCUCCAGUUCAACUCUGCUUUUUCAAACAAGUGCUUCACAUCACUGCUGAGUUGUUACGCUGCCGGUCCCUGGCACAGGGCUCUCCAGUUUUCAUCAGACUUCUAAGAAUCCCCCCAGUAUUUCAGUGAGAGCAUUUAGGAUACUAAGAUAUAUGUGGUUUGUUUUUCAGUUUUUGUUGUUGUUGCUAGUUUUUUCCAGUCUGUGGAAAGAACUGUCACUGGAAAACCACGGUGGUACAGGAACUAUAUGAAUUCUGCAGUCUUCUUCAUAUGUCUUUACCAAGUGAUAGAUACAGCCAGUCCACUCCAUUCUUUCCCUUUUUCCUCUUCUGCGACUGCAAAUAAGGACACCAGUUAAACCAGUUGUGGAAAUUAGGGCUGUUUUCAGCCCAACUUCUUAGCAAAGCAAGCCUUACAUGAUUACUCUGCAUAUAAUCUUAAUGUCUUAUGAACAGUUCUAGCCAAUCUCUCCCAAAUAUACCAGAGGAGCUGAGUUACCAAAAUACUUAGUUCCUACAUUUCUUUCCAGUUCAGUCAAAAGGAGCAGCCCAAAAAGUCAUCAGUAGCAUUUUUCUGUUGUAAGUGGGAAAGGCAGAAAAACAGCAGGAGAACUUUACAAUAGAACAAGGAGACAAUAUAAAAUCUAAGUUUUAAUCACUUAGUAUCCAUUCACUGAGAGGUGCGCAUCCACAAGAAAGUAGGAGUGCAGCAAACCAUGAUUUCUUAUGUGGAUACUUGUCAACUAGCAGACAAAUCAAACAAGUCAGUUCGCUGUUUCCAGGCUUACACUUGUGGCAUUGAACUGAAAUCUUCCCUAUUUCUGAAUUCUAGUCCUGAGUUUAGGUAAUGAUUUCUUUCUCAGUAGCUACUUUCUGUACUGGUUGAAACAUAAACUACUUAAAUGACUGUACUCAAUACUUAUUUAUUGUCUCUAGCAGAAUAAUUUUUCCCAAACCUUUCUUGAACUAUAAUGCUCAUCUGGGGAGCUCUGAAUGUAGUCCAUCUUGGCUGUCUGUUCCAGAUAUUACCCAAAAAAUUGAAUUUUGCUUAUUUCUGUUUAUACAUGCAUGUUGGUUUCUCAGUUAUUUGAUUUAUGGACUCUUUCAGGAUCAAUUUCUUCAUUUGAGAAGGCACAGAAAAAUAGCAGCCCUAACGCAAGAGGAAGAUGUGAGGAAAAUCAAAAAGCUUUGUGUUACCAGCUUGAGCUCUCUCUGAGGGAUAAGUCAUUUCAUUUAGCUGCUGUGUGCUGAUUGUUAGAAAAUACCUGGGAUGGUCUGAGUGACAGUCUUCAUUUCUUGUUUGAAAUCAGCACAAACCCUUCCACUGCUUUUGGUUUCCAUACAUUCCUGACUACUGGCAUAAAUUCAGAAAGAAGAAAUCUCAGGACAGCGUGUUUUCUGGCUGUACGUUACAUAGCGGAAGAGAGCUUGGGAAAGGAAGCAUGAAUAGCUCAGGGGAGGUUCCAGUUGAAUAUAAGGAACAGUUUCUUAGAGUGGUGAAGCAUUGGGACAGGCUGUCCAGGGAGGUAGUGGAGUCUCUGUCCCUGAUGUUCAAGAACUGUAAAGAUGUGGCACUGAGGGAUGUGGUCAGUGGGCACGGUGGGGAUGGGCUGGUGGUUGAACUAAAUGAUUUUAGUGGUCUUUUCCAAACGUAAUGUUUCUAUGAUGUUUUUUUCCAGCCGUAAAUUCUUGUAAUUAAAACCUUGGCAAGUUGUUAGGGAUUUUCUUAUUUUAUUUUCUCAUCAUUUUAAGCAAUUCAAGAAGCAAAACAUGUCACUGAUUAAAAAAGACUUAGUAGUACAAAUCUCAUAGGAAAUGUUAUUUUUAGACCAGUUUUGUUAAUAAAUACUUAAAAAAAAACCUAAAAUAUUGUGAUUAAUCAGCCUUUAAAUUAAUGUAGAAGUAUAAACACAACUUAGUUUCAAAUCAUUUAUGAAGAACUGGUAAGCUUAGAAUUAGCAGUGUUGCUGCUCUUCGUGCUCAACUUUGGCACUCCUGUUUGAAAUGAAAACUUUGUUGAAGUAUAGAAGCAAAAAUUCCUCUAACGCUUACAUUCAUUUAUGACGCUUACAGGGGAAGUCGGUGCGAUGAGUGUAUGAAAUGAAGUUAUGUUUUUAGAUAAGAGUUAUCACAGAAUAAAAAUACACCCUUUAUUGCUGUCUUUGUCUCUUUGUGAAACUUCAGCCUCUCCUUGCCUUCCUUUGAUCACAGAGCAAACUAUUUAUGGUCAACCUGAGAAGCUGAACAAAGGUUAUACUUCAGUAAUUAAAUCACUUUACUGAUUAGGUUUGACUUUCCAUGCUCAGUCUGAUUUCAAAAGAAGAAAAAUAAAGACCUUUAAUCUGCUUGGAAAUGCCAAGGAAAGUAAACCCUGUAGUACAGCAGGAACAAGAUCUAUUCACAUUUCUCAUCAGUUUUUCUAGAUCAAGAUGGUGAACAUCUUUAACUAGUUCUGCAUUUUGUGGUGUGCAUGAAGCUAAGUGACAGUGAGUUCCAGGGGCAGCGUAAGGGACAUGCAAGUAAACUGGAAUUUCUUGUUUAAGAGUUUCCAGCCAAAGAGGUCUUUGCAGGCAGGUCAGAUAAAGGCAUAGAAAGUGGUCCCCUCUUCUGAAAUAAAUGGGAUUCUAGUUUUUAUUUUUAAUAUUUUUGAAGUUACCAUCUUAAUGGCUUAAAACUCAUGAAAAGGUCAGGAUUCUUCAUUAUAUGAGUUUGUAGUCUCACAUUUUAUGGCUGUUCGUCUUAGCUCUGGAGUGCUAAAGAUCACUAUGGUUUAUCUGAUGAGUAUGCUUGUAACUUCUAUUCCAAUCAAGGUGUCCAGGCUGGAGAAAAUCCAUGUGUUCAACCAGAUCAGCAAAGGACACUCUAAAAUGGUGGUUCCUGUCUUCAAACACCUGAUUAAGACCCAUAAUUAAAGAGUUUUCUUGGCUUUCUUUUUUCUUCUCCCCUGUAGAAAUAGAUGAAAACUCACAAUUUGAUCUUGCCCCUAAGUCCACGGGAACUUGCAUUUUGUAUCCAACAUAACAUUAGUGCGCCUUUUAUAAUGUCAACUUGAACUAUGAGUCUCUGCAUGCUCAUCGUUAAAAGCACUUGCUUGAGGAAGUAGCAGCUAUGCUGUAAAUUCAUUUUGCUCUAUUCUGCAAAAGGUUUCCUGUCAUGUUAUCCAAAUUUUGUUUACAAAUCUGUGACUUCUUCACUCUGACAAAGAAUUCCUUGUUCUAAUGCUGUAGUGAGUAUCAAUUGGUAUCUUUUUGGUACACGAAAUGAGCUAACUCUAGAAAUCAAUGGACAAAUAUCUCCCCCACCAAAACUCACAAUUACAACUAGCGCCUUUGCAAGCAAUUUUCAUGAAGGACUUUGUGAUUAAUUUUGAAGGAAUGCCUUUCUACUAUUUUGAGCUUUCUUUCCCCAUGGGGAAUUCUGAGCUGGUUGACCUAGUUGGAUCCUAAAGACCUUUUGCACAGCUAAAGAGUCAGAAUGGAGCCAGUCAGUUGACAGAAAAGGUCAAAAGAUGCCAUUACACAUGGAAUUGAUGUACUGGAGUCCUUUGUAGGAAAAUAUCUUUUAACGACUUGACCCAAGAUGGAAUUUCUCACUGAAACAGGAGAUGUCGUAGAGAGUAAAUAACCUCAGGAUUACAGUGUUUGCUUAAGAAAUUGAAUUACAAGCCCAUGAUUCAGACCAAGAAUAUGAACUUGUGUUUUCUAAAUCCUAGAGAAGUGUUGUACUUAGCUCUAAGUUAUCAACAUUCAAUUUUGUUUGUCACUUCUCAUUAAAAUACUCAAUUUGUAAAUCAAGCAACAAACUCAAGAAUUCUGCCUCACAGGUUACCGUUUUCAAUAGUCAGCCUGUACGUAGAUUCAAACCAAUCCUUUUCAGAAAUAUCUCUACAGUUCUUUAAGUAACAGAAGCUGUUUAUCUAUUUAGAUGCAUCCUCCUGAAAGAAACUUUGGGAUAUUUUUUCCUUUGUCUUGAGGUAAAUAAAAGAGCUAAUGCUAUUUUUCAUGUUUUUCACAGCACAGCCAUGGUAAGUCCAUUUUAUGUGCUGAUAACUCUCUCCAAGAUCUAGAGAGCUUUCAUGCUAUUUCAACUCUACCCACUGAAUACCAAAAGCAAGAGAGGAAAUCUCUUUUGCUCUGAAAGACUGUGGAAGCAGUAGUGCAAGAGUGGUUUUUUUUGCUGUUGUUGCAGUAGCCUUUAAUCCCUUGACUGAAAACACUACUUUUAUACUAAAUGCUUAGCUCUUUACAGGAUGUAUUUGUAGCAGUGAUGGGGAGAUGGAAAGAUGGAGAAGCAGAGAUCUAGGAUCAAGAAUUCCAUCACUAUGGAGCUGAACUGGAUGCUUUCCUAGUAGCUUUUCUCAGUAGCAACUUCAAGCCUUAGAGUAGUUUGAAUUUACAUAUAAUGUGUAAAAACACAGCAGUCUUGCUCUGUGUUUAUUAUUGGCAGAGUAAUCUUGGGCUUCUUUUUGAAGCCCUAUGAUUACACAAUCUUCUAAGAGUAAAAAACAUCCUAGACCUUGUGUUUACAGUGAAAAGCUGAAAGAUAACUGAAUGUCCAAAGGCCAGAGAUUUUGAAUUUCAUAGUGCUCAAGUUAACUACAGUGAAAGAAAGAAUGUCUCUGUGUUGCAGAUUUUUAUUUGUUUAGUUAGAAUACUAGAGAGAAAUAAAAGACAUUGCUGAUUCUGUUUUCCAGAUAGGGUAGAACAGGACAGUAAGAUUAAGUUUCUUGCUGGAGUUCUCAAGGAAAUCCUGUGCCAGGGCAAUGAGCAGAGAACCUCUCUUUAGAGCCAGGAAAGCUUCUUGACUGCAAGCCUUCCUUUUCUCCUGUGUUGAGAGCAGGUAUGUUUAGCAAACAUAGACCCAGCAGCCUCCUCUUCUAAUAGAUGCUUUAGGGGCUCUCUUGGUGUGAUCUGGAGGUUCCUUACCUGCUCUUGUAGCUCCUAGUGCAGAGCUGUUUCAUGCUCAAGGGAAGAGGUGAAUAGAUCUUAAAUUUCUGAAAGGUUUCUCUUCAUCAGAAGAAUUAUAUCUACAUCUAGAAUUAUAUAUACAUCUAGGAAUAUUUGAGGAAUAAUGGGCUGCCCAAGCAUUCUUAGAUCUUCUAAUUAUGGUUUGAUUGUUUGAGUAGGCCUUCCUCUGCUUCAUUUUCUCCCUUUCUUGCUUUACUUCCUGCCCUUUUCUUGAACAGUUUCCAUGUUCCUUUGCUGCCUUUCCCUGCUACAAAGUUAAAGAGCCAUCCUUGUAAUCCCACUUUCUGUUUCUGUGUCCACAUUCACAAAUUGUAGAACAUUUUACUUAAAUCAUUAUAGUCUAGAAUAAAACAACUAAUUUUCUUACUGAAAUUUUCUGUGAAAUAUAGAAAUAACUUCUUUCUUUCUGAAUUUAAUAGUAGAACUUUGUGGGAGGAACAUUCAGCUCACAUCUCCUAAGAUAUGAGAAUAUAUUAGUUAUAAUAAAAUUGAGAAAAUUCCAUAUUUUUUUUCUUCAAGAACUUGCUGGGUUUUUUUAUUUCUUUUCCUCUGGAGCAAAGGGCAGAAGUCUGCAUUUCAGCACAAAGGGAAUUUCAAUGAAACCUGCUUCAAGCAAUUCUUUGGUUAUUACUUUUUAAUACUUACCCGUUAGCAUGCUUCCUUCUCUACUUUGACAUUUAGCUUUAAUCUGCGUAUAGAUACAAACAUCACUUCUAUACUCAGAUUUGAGUCUGCUCCACUGCCCUUGAAACAACUUGCAGAGGUGAAGUGCAUAAGAGGAACAUGGCAACAAUAUUAUUGUCAUUUAAGAACAGAUGUUAAAAAAGAACAAAAUCUCAAUUAUUUUAUUUUCCAUCUGAAGUACUAAGAUCCAAUCCCAAAUUCCCCACAUAUGAACCCAUGAGAUUAAAAUCCAGAAAUAAAUUCAAUUGAUACAACUUUUCAUUGUAAUUACAUGGGUAGAGAUCUGUAUAGCAAGCUGUAAAUGUCAAGAGUCCAUUUGACUUGUCAUUCCCAGGAGAGCUGUGCUGAACACAAGAUUUAUCUGAGUUUUAUUCUGAGUUAACUUGCAUCCGGAUCCUCUCUAGCUGACAAAAUCAAAAAAGUUGGACUAGAAUUGAGCUCAAGAGCUCCUCUAAUGAAAUUCCCCUUGUUGUCAGGCAGAAUCGGCAGCUUUGGUAGCAUUGGUGUUUGAUGCUCAUCUAGCAUGUCCACAAAGAUUGGAAGACUGGCAGCUUCACCACAAGCUUUGAGAAAGGAUAGCAUGUUUCUUCUUUGUUACAGUCUAUUUAAUGCAUGGAGAUCAUCAUUAUGUCCCUUAAUCCUUUUUAUUUUUUUUGAUCUCCACUUUCAUCCAGAUUCCCUGCCCAUGUACAUCCUUGGAAUAUGGGUGGCUAUAGGUAUCACUUCUAAAUGCUCUUCUGUAGACCUGGUUGAGGAUUUUACCUUAUAAAUUACUUUUCCAACCUUAAAGAUUCUAAGAUCAUCUUGUCCAACUGUCAAGCCAUGCCCACUGACAUCCCUCCGCGCCACAUUUCCAUGUUUCUGGAAUACCUCCAGGAACAGUGACUCCUCCCACUCCCUGGGCAGCCUGUGCCAGUGCCUUACCCCUCCAUCAGAGGAUAAUUUUUUCCUAAUAUCCCACCUGAACUUCCCUGGCACAACUUAAAGCCAUUACCUCUUGUCCUGUUGCUGUUACCUGGGAGAAGAGACUGACCCCCACCUUGCUACAACAUCCUUCCUGGUAGAUGUAGAGAGCAAUUUUAAAAAACAAAACAAAAACAAAAAAAAAACCUCAAAACAAUCUUGUAGGUGCUUUUUUUUUUCUGUGAGAGACAGUUUCUAAAGAGUGCAGUUUGCACCUAUCUCAAAUUUUCCCACUAAAUAGAUGAGUUUUUAGACUCCUGUUUACCUGAUGCUAGAGUAUUUGUCUUCAUUCUUUUUUUCUUUUUAAUUUUAUACAUCUACUGUAAGGUCAGAAGAAUUGUGAUUACCAAUUAAAAUAACUAUUCCCAGACAAAACACUUUUUCAGAAUAUGUUAGUGAAUAUUUUAGCAGGAAUAUCGAUCUUCUCUCAGAUAAAUCACUAUCAAGCUCCGUAAAAUGUGGUGAAACUAAUAUUUACAAGUAGAAAAAGCAAAAGACAGAAUGAAUACAAUGCAUACCAGCCUCCAAAUAAGUUAUCUAAAAAAUUUUUAAUUCUAUGGUUUCAAGUUCUAUGCAGAAAUACCAAAUGGACUGAACGUGUCUCAUGAGGUUCAGUAAGGUUUAAUCAACUUUAGUUCUUAAUAUGAAUUGGGAAAUAUGAGACUGAGUAACUGAAACACUGUCUAGGUGGUUUUUUACUUCAUCAUUUGUGGACUUCUGCCUAUACUGAGGUAGGAAACAUUUAUCAUCACAUUUCUAGCUCAGACUGUGGAAGAAAUUCAAAUGUGAGGAUAGCAGAAUGCUAUAAAUUAGAAAAGUAAUUAGCCAUUCACUUUUGAAGUUUGGUAGAGGCUAUUGGUCUUCUAAGCUGGAGAAUCUGAUGGAAAACUAAAAAAUUAUGGCAUACGUCAAUGGUUUACGGGCGUUCGGCCCGGUUCCAUGACGAAGGGAAUGGGGGACCCACGGGCCCACACCCUGGGAAAAGGGGGAAAGGGUAAGGAGAUGGCCCUGAGAGCAAAGAACAGU
This is a long non-coding RNA of Numida meleagris (helmeted guineafowl), 19274 nucleotides long. RefSeq lists it as uncharacterized. The transcript is spliced from 8 exons. Lineage: Eukaryota; Metazoa; Chordata; Aves; Galliformes; Numididae. The record is from RefSeq and is a predicted model, not a curated record.